GACUCGGUGGCUAGCCGAUGAGGAGGCCGCGGGGGGAACCCGGCCCCCGGGCCCCGAGACCGACUGAGGGAGCGACCUGCGCAGGGCCCGGGGAGUCAUGGUCUCCAUCACCCAACUCCAUGCUUCGAGUCCUGCUCUCUGCUCAGACCUCCCCUGCUCGGCUGUCUGGCCUGCUGCUGAUCCCUCCAGUACAGCCCUGCUGUUUGGGGCCCAGCAAAUGGGGGGACCGGCCUGUUGGAGGAGGCCCCAGUGCAGGUCCUGUGCAAGGACUGCAGCGGCUUCUGGAACAGGCGAAGAGCCCUGGGGAGCUGCUGCGCUGGCUGGGCCAGAACCCCAGCAAGGUGCGCGCCCACCACUACUCGGUGGCGCUUCGUCGUCUGGGCCAGCUCUUGGGGUCUCGGCCACGGCCCCCUCCUGUGGAGCAGGUCACACUGCAGGACUUGAGUCAGCUCAUCAUCCGAAACUGCCCCUCCUUUGACAUUCACACCAUCCACGUGUGUCUGCACCUUGCAGUCUUACUUGGCUUUCCAUCUGAUGGUCCCCUGGUGUGUGCCCUGGAACAGGAGCGAAGGCUCCGCCUCCCUCCGAAGCCACCUCCCCCUUUGCAGCCCCUUCUCCGAGGUGGGCAAGGGUUGGAAGCUGCUCUAAGCUGCCCCCGUUUUCUGCGGUAUCCACGGCAGCAUCUGAUCAGCAGCCUGGCAGAGGCAAGGCCAGAGGAACUGACUCCCCACGUGAUGGUGCUCCUGGCCCAGCACCUGGCCCGGCACCGGUUGCGGGAGCCCCAGCUUCUGGAAGCC
Molecule: long non-coding RNA, 797 nt
Filed under: Homo sapiens (human)
Lineage: Eukaryota; Metazoa; Chordata; Mammalia; Primates; Hominidae
Description: long non-coding RNA NONHSAT214123.1
Source: RNAcentral